Non-coding RNA from Oryza barthii, 207 nucleotides. NCBI's taxonomy places the organism in Eukaryota, Viridiplantae, Streptophyta, Magnoliopsida, Poales, Poaceae. The record is from Rfam.
AUUAAGUGUAGUUUUACACUAUUCAUGCUCAACAUUUGACUGUUCAUCUUAUUUGAAAUAUUUUUAUGAUUAAUAUUUUUAUUGUUAUUAGAUAAUAAAACAUGAAUAGUGCUUUAUGUGUGACUAUUUUUUUUAAUUUUUUUAUAAACUUUUCGAAUAAGACGGACGGUUAAACGUUGGACACAGAUUUCUACGGCUGCAUUUAUU